RNAcentral lists this ribosomal RNA (253 nucleotides) under uncultured bacterium. RNAcentral describes it as "partial 16S ribosomal RNA". It matches the Rfam family "Bacterial small subunit ribosomal RNA", at positions 524 to 776 of the family's 1533-position model. The record is from RNAcentral.
UACAGGGGUCCCAAGCGUUGUUCGGAUUCACUGGGCGUAAAGGGUGCGUAGGUGGCCGGGUAAGUCUGAUGUGAAAUCUCCGAGCUCAACUCGGAAAUGGCAUUGGAAACUAUCCGGCUCGAGGAGUGGAGGGGGGACUGGAAUACUUGGUGUAGCAGUGAAAUGCGUAGAUAUCAAGUGGAACACCAGUGGCGAAGGCGAGUCCCUGGACACUUCCUGACACUGAGGCACGAAAGCUAGGGGAGCAAACAGG